Molecule: long non-coding RNA, 641 nt
Filed under: Anser brachyrhynchus (Pink-footed goose)
Lineage: Eukaryota; Metazoa; Chordata; Aves; Anseriformes; Anatidae
Description: lncRNA (ENSABRG00000022226.1)
Source: RNAcentral
GGGCCAUUUGGCAAGGUGAGCUGCAUUAGAUCAUACAAUAUAACUGUAAAUUGGAAAUGGUUUAAGCUGUCAAAUCUGUUUUUUUGCCACUAGAUUUUCUCAUGACUCGUUUCUCUUUCUAAUUGGAUUUUAGCAUGUACUUUGUGUUUCAAAACUUGGAAUGAUGAAGAAUUAGAUAGCACUGAGCUUUAGGAACAGGCGGCCUCCCAAGCUGUGUUUAAUCUUUAACAGCUGAGAGUUGAUUCCAAGGGACAGAUCCUGUAGCAAAUAGGCUGAGGUAUCCCUGCACAGAUGUCAGCGAUCCGAGUGCUGCGCUUGGUGCUAUUUAAAGCAAAGGAACUGCCCCCCUGCAGUUUGUAAUGAGGUUCAAGUCUCUCACAAUCACAUGAUUCGAGCUGCAGAGGAUUUACAAAUGCAAAAUCUCCCAGAAGACCUACAUCCAUCACCAGCCUGACUGAAAAACUGAGAUGGAUUUCAGCUGUGUCCCAGUUUGCACUACACGAGCUGACUUUGUGCAAUAAUGAAGGAGACUGGAUCAAAGGCAAAAGCCCUGCUGGAAAUCUUGUGGGCUGUCACCCUGUCUUUGGUGGCAGGUUAGUGAAAGGCUUUACUUCAACUGGUGUGAUACUGCUUUGGGGCUG